GAUGAACGUUGGCGGUGUGCCUAAUACAUGCAAGUCGAACGGAGUUAGUAGCAAUACUGGCUCAGUGGCGAACGGGUGAGUAACGCGUUGGUGAUCUGCCUUGAAGUGUGGAAUAACGUUUCGAAAGGAACGCUAAUACCGCAUGUGCUCUCGAUUUUUCAGAAAGUUGAGAGUAAAGGAUUUAUUCGCUUCAAGAGGAGCCUGCGUCCCAUCAGCUGGUUGGUAGGGUAACGGCCUACCAAGGCUAUGACGGGUAGGGGACCUGAGAGGGUGGCCCCCCACAAUGGAACUGAAACACGGUCCAUACACCUACGGGUGGCAGCAGUAGGGAAUAUUAGAAAUGGACGAAAGUCUGAUCUAGCAACACCGCGUGUGCGAAGAAGGCCUUCGGGUCGUAAAGCACUUUUUGGAAGGAAUAGGAAGGAAUGUACUUCCAGAAUAAGUCUCGGCUAACUACGUG
Molecule: ribosomal RNA, 460 nt
Filed under: uncultured bacterium
Lineage: Bacteria
Description: bacterial SSU rRNA
Rfam family: Bacterial small subunit ribosomal RNA
Source: RNAcentral